Molecule: ribosomal RNA, 460 nt
Filed under: uncultured bacterium
Lineage: Bacteria
Description: partial 16S ribosomal RNA
Rfam family: Bacterial small subunit ribosomal RNA
Source: RNAcentral
CCUAUGGGGGACAGCAGUGAGGAAUAUUGGUCAAUGGGCGCGAGCCUGAACCAGCCAAGUAGCGUGAAGGAUGACUGCCCUACGGGUUGUAAACUUCUUUUAUAAAGGAAUAAAGUGAGGCACGUGUGCCUUUUUGUAUGUACUUUAUGAAUAAGGAUCGGCUAACUCCGUGCCAGCAGCCGCGGUAAUACGGAGGAUCCGAGCGUUAUCCUGAUUUAUUGGGUUUAAAGGGAGCGUAGAUGGGUUGUUAAGUCAGUUGUGAAAGUUCGCGGCUCAACCGUAAAAUUGCAACUGAUACUGGCAGUCUUGAGUACAGUAGAGGUGGGCGGAAUUCGUGGUGUAGCGGUGAAAUGCUUAGAUAUCACGAAGAACUCCGAUUGCGAAGGCAGCUCACUGGACUGCAACUGACACUGAGGCUCGAAAGUGUGGGUAUCAAACAGGAUUAGAUACCCCGGUAGUC